GUCCUAACUCUGUCUUGAAUAUGUACCCAGCAGGCACCUAGGACUCGUAUCUCCCUCUGAGAAUCUCUUCUAAUGCGCUCAGCAGCAGAAAUUCUCCAUCCUAGAUGAGCCUGCAAAGUUCUGUAGAAGUUAAAUAUACUUUAGUCAAAUGAGAGACUAACCUGCUGUCAGGCAGGGGAAGCUUGAACAAGGCCUUCAUUCAUGACAGCUCCACUUGGCUUUUUGACAAGUCCCCAUUUAGAUGCAGCACGUCAGAGACUGAAGAGCAGGAUGAAGGCUAAAUUCUCUCAAGAAAGAAGUUGCCUCUUACCAUGUCACAAGCAAUUAGUUUUACCCAAAAAGGAGGAGGACCCCUCUCUGCUCCCCGUGUUAAAAAACAAUACACCGCCUCACAGGCCAGAGCCACAGCCUUCUCUCUGCUGGGUGGAAGAACAACUCUCACACAGUGGAAGUCCUCCAGACCCCCUGCCUUCAGACAAUAGGUUCCCUGGUUUUGGUCUACAUUCCUCGGUCCUCUGCUGUGGAGUCUACCUUCUGCUUCACCUCAUUCUGGAGUCGCCCAUCCAGUCAGCGGCCCAUGUCCCCCUGGUUCCCUGUUUCCAGAGGUUGGUCUGCUAGUCUCCGGGGCCAGGGGGCAGAAAUCUGCCAUGUUGGAUGGGCGGCCCAGGUUGGGGUGCUCCAUCAUAGACUGGUACAUGAAGGAUUAUAAAUGGUUUUUAACCAGUAUGUACCGAGUGUGCGUCGUGACGAAAAGAAUGUCAUGGGAACAUUUAGGACUGACUGCAGUACUGGUUCAAAGCAUGAUUGUGUUUUUCUUAAUUUUUAUUGAUUUAUUUUUGCAUUAUUAUUUUUUUUUAAGUAACUUGAUUCAGU
Long non-coding RNA from Brienomyrus brachyistius, 873 nucleotides. RefSeq lists it as uncharacterized. The record is from RefSeq and is a predicted model, not a curated record. The transcript is spliced from 4 exons. Lineage: Eukaryota; Metazoa; Chordata; Actinopteri; Osteoglossiformes; Mormyridae.